RNAcentral lists this ribosomal RNA (484 nucleotides) under uncultured bacterium. Its description in RNAcentral is "partial 16S ribosomal RNA". It matches the Rfam family "Bacterial small subunit ribosomal RNA", at positions 28 to 523 of the family's 1533-position model. The record is from RNAcentral.
GACGAACGCUAGCGGCGUGCUUAACACAUGCAAGUCGAACGAUGAAGCCGGAGCUUGCUCUGGUGAAUUAGUGGCGAACGGGUGAGUAACACGUGAGUAACCUGCCCUUGACUCUGGGAUAACUGCGGGAAACUGUAGCUAAUACCGGAUACGACCCUCGGCGGCAUCGCCAGGGGGUGGAAAGAAUUUCGGUCAAGGAUGGACUCGCGGCCUAUCAGCUAGUUGGUGAGGUAACGGCUCACCAAGGCGACGACGGGUAGCCGGCCUGAGAGGGUGACCGGCCACACUGGGACUGAGGCACGGCCCAGACUCCUACGGGAGGCAGCAGUGGGGAAUAUUGCACAAUGGGCGCAAGCCUGAUGCAGCAACGCCGCGUGAGGGAUGACGGCCUUCGGGUUGUAAACCUCUUUUAGUAGGGAAGAAGCGAAAGUGACGGUACCUGCAGAAAAAGCACCGGCUAACUACGUGCCAGCAGCCGCCGUAA